GACGAACGCUGGCGGUAUGCUUAACACAUGCAAGUCGAACGAGACGGGAUGGACGGAGCCUUCGGGUGACGGAAAUCCUAGAAAGUGGCGAACGGGUGAGUAACGCGUGGGUAACCUGCCCUGUGGAAAGGAAUAGCCUCGGGAAAAUGGGAGCAAUGCCCUAUAAUAUAUCGAAGUCGCAUGGCUUUGAUAUGAAAACCAACGGGUCCAUAGGAUGGACCCGCGUCCCAGUAGCUAGUUGGUGGGAUAACAGCCCACCAAGGCGACGAUGGGUAACCGGUCUGAGAGGGCGAACGGUCACACUGGAACUGAGACACGGUCCAGACACCUACGGGAGGCAGCAGUGGGGAAUAUUGCGCAAUGGGGGCAACCCUGACGCAGCAAUACCGCGUGAGUGAAGAAGGUUUUCGGAUCGUAAAGCUCUGUUAUUGGGGAAGAAAAAAGACGGUACCCAAGAAGAAAGGCCCGGCUAACUACGUGCCAGCAGCCGCCGUAA
RNAcentral lists this ribosomal RNA (496 nucleotides) under uncultured bacterium. Its description in RNAcentral is "partial 16S ribosomal RNA". It matches the Rfam family "Bacterial small subunit ribosomal RNA", at positions 28 to 523 of the family's 1533-position model. The record is from RNAcentral.